The sequence is a ribosomal RNA, 643 nucleotides long. The stretch from base 245 to 398 matches the Rfam family "5.8S ribosomal RNA".
AGGUGAACCUGCGGAAGGAUCAUUAUUGUAUUUGAAAGGGGUUGUAGCUGACCUCCUCUUGAAAAGGGGGGAGGUAUGUGCACACCUCUGUUCAUUCAUAUUCUCUCACACCUGUGCAUGCUUUGUAGGUUGGUUUUGAAUGGUUGUCUUCUCUGAUGGAGACAGCUGUUUUGACCUUCCUAUGUUUUUUAAAUUGACUCCGUAUCAGUUACAGAAUGUAUGUUGCGUGUAACGCAUAUUGUAUAACUUUCAGCAACGGAUCUCUUGGCUCUCGCAUCGAUGAAGAACACGGCGAAAUGUGAUAAGUAAUGUGAAUUGCAGAAUUCAGUGAAUCAUCGAAUCUUUGAACGCACCUUGCGCUCCUUGGUAUUCUGAGGAGCAUGCCUGUUUGAGUGUCAUGGAAUUAUCAACCCUUUUGACUUUUUGUUGAAUGGGCUUGGAUUUGGAGGGUUAAAUUGCUGGCUCUUCUUUUUGAUUCAGCUCCUCUUGAAUGCAUUAGCUUGAACCCUUGUGGAUUGACCUUAUCGGUGUGAUAGUCAUCUAUGCCGUGGUUGUCUGAGGUGGGAUCGGCUUCUAAUGGUGCAAGUCCCUUCAGGGGGAUGAUUUUCUAAUGACCUUCUGACCUCAAAUCAGGUAGGACUAC